AUGAUGUAUCUAUGGGAAAAUGAGAACUUGGAACCUUCUAGCAUGCCAUUUGCUGAUGUCACUCUCGACAACUUGACUCUGGACACAGGUGCUGAGAACCUGAAUCAUGACAGGACAGCUGUCAUGCAAACAGACAAAACUAAAUUUACUGCUGAAUUCAAUAACCCGCCCACCACGACCCCUCAGCCACAUGCUAUCUCCGGUUCGGGAGCGUUGGAUGGGGAUGCCAGAGACUCUGCUUUUCCUCAACAACUUCCACGGAUCCUGGGACAUUUCUUAAAACGUCUGGACCGAAGCUUUAACCUCAUGUGCUCCAUCAGGCUGGGACGGAAAAGACGGGAGGGGCGAAGAAGAGGCGGGGGGGAACUGGGAGCGCCGGGACGGAGCCCGGGCCCAGGACGGUCGGUGUCAAUGACCCAGGGUUCCCGCGCCCCGGGCGCACCCCGCAGUAAGGCGUCGGGGAGUCGGGGACAUUAGGGAGGCGACCACCCGGCCCCCAGCGGGGGAUGAAGUGCAAGGCUGGCCACUCCCGGCAGGAGGCUGCGCGCAGAGACCAGCUGUGGGUAGCGGGGGAUGGGGCAGGCGGCCACGUGCAACCGUGGGCAGGUGGGAGCCUCCCAGGCGCCAGCUCGGGGAGGGCCACGCCCCUUCCCGAUUCCCCGCGCUAGGCCACGGGACUGCAAAGGGGGGCACGUCCCUUCCAGAGUUCUCGGCGCUAGGCCACGCCCUAUUGCCCGGGCCCCGCCCACUCCUUAUGCCCAUUGGGGGCUCCUUGCAUGUCUCCGUCCCGCCGCCGCAAUGGACUCCCAGACCUCAGCAUCAACCCUGUCUCCUGUUACUCGCCUCAGGCUGGUUGCCCGGGGAAAAACUCCAAGCGUUUCACUGGCUAGCCGGUAAACCGUUUCAUCUUUGCUCCAUCAGCAGCAGCUCUUUGAUUGAAUCCCCUGGCUUUAGAGCCUCCCACUUUGACGAUGCUGCAAAUCCCUGAAGCGUGCUGGCUCUGAUCUGGGCCACGUGUACACCCAGGUGCGCCCCCUUAGCCUCACGCCCUGCUCCUGUUGCCUCCCCGUGCCUCUAGCCUUCGGGAAUUGGGGUUGCAAUGAAUCUUUUCCAAGUCUUUUAUUACUCCAGCCUCUCCGUGCACCCUCCCGCUCCAACACCUGACAUUUUCCUUCAUCUCCACCCUCCCUUCCCCAGGUCCACAGACAGACAGACACACACACACACACACACACACACACACACACGCCUCUUCCUUUCCCCUCCACUCUCAGCCAAUGGCAACGUCAGUCCAUCCAAUAGUCAGGAGACCAGACGACUGUCCACAGACAGCUGCCCUCUCGCCCAGGAGAGUGGGGCUGCACCACGAAGCAGGCCUAGCAGGAAAUCGUGCUUUGAUAGUCCCAGGCAUCGUAUUUCGCAGUAUUUCAUAAGUGAGCCAAAUGGAGAAGGGAUUAGCUGUUUCGCCCAUUAAGCCCCACAUCUGUAGUUACAUUCUGACUGGGAUAAAAUUACCCUGGUUAUUAAUCCUUCUGCUUCAGGGCAUAAGCUGAUCACCGCUGGGGUCAGGAAAAAAUUCUACCCCAGCUCCUUCCAGCCUGCUACCCCAUUCUCAGCUGCCCCAUCUCCUGUGGUCUAUUCUUGCACAGUUAGGUCUACUAGCCAGGUUCAACUGUGGCAUCUCUGACCAUCCUAGUCUGCCCCGAAAAGGACAGUCCAUUGAUCAUGUAAGUAUGUAUUGAGAAUCUACUGUGGGCAAGACUGGUCUUCGCUGUGAGCGAUGUAAAGCCAUUCUGGCAUGACCCUUGCCUUUUUCGUGCCAAGAAAAGCUGAAGAAUGUGGUCAGAAAUUACAUGUGGUUUCUGGGACUUCCUACCCUGAGGCACCCUAGGUGUAUCAGAUGGCCUCAGGGAGCACAGUUCGGGUAUGGGCAGUAUUUUCACGCCCACUGCCAUUCCGUUAAGUGUACGUGGGCUCUUCGUGAACACCGGCUAGCUGUGUUUCUGUCUCUGAUCAAGUUUAGACUCCAAAUCUGCCAGUUCUGGGACUUUAAAGGAGUCUCUAUUUCCCUGGGUAAGAACAAGAAAAGAGAGACUCCAUUUCCCUUGGUAGAAACAAGAAGUAGGAACAAGCAGGUGGAGAGCCAGGCAGGGUUGCUCCUUCCAACCAAUGGGUCUGGGGCUGCAGCACACGAAGUUGACAUCCCAAGAAGCCAUUUUCCUUGGUCACUUCAGACCUGACGUUGGGUGGACUGACCACAUAAUUCAGCAUCCAAACUGGGGAUCUCUCAAUAACAGAAAGGGGUGCCAUUGAUAAUUUCGUGGAACUUUCCGGAGCACCCAGGGUGUUUUCAUUCUGCCUGAGAGGUCAUCUCCCUUGGGCAUCAUAAGAGGUACCACUGAGACACAACAGCUUUUGUCACCAUUUCCUGAUUGCUUCCCAAGCUCUCUCUCCUCUUCCCUGUGCCAGUCAUCUCACAGUCUCCUUGUGCAGUUAGAUCUCCCCUACUUCAGCCCUUCCUCCCACAAGUUCCUUUGCCCCCACUGCCAUGCCCAAAACACCUACAUUUCCACUCUCCAACCUUGAUCAACCCAACUGUGUUUUUACACUACUGUGUCCAGGAUGCUGGGUAAUUCUAAAGAUAGCCAUCAAUAACAUUCAUUCAAUGAAUAAGUCUGGGUUGAUCCUGUGACACACCUUCUACCCUCAGCUGCUUCUCAACAUUGGUCAGUCCUUAUGUUGGUGUUCUCAUUUUACAUGAUAGAGUUCCAAACAAUUUAUAGCCCAAAUCAUCAUCUAUCCUGCAAUUCUUGAAAGAGACCCUAACUUCAGUAGCACAAGAACAAAAACCAACGAAACAAAAAAUACUUAGCUUAUGAACCUUUCAGAUUUUCUGCUCUCCACCCCAAGACCAAACUUGUAGAUAGAUACCUACCUGUUGACCACACCCUCCCUCUUCAAUGAAAACUGCUUCUCCUUCCACUCCAUCUGUGAGGCACCUAUGGGUGCUGACAUGGGCUUACAUAGGACCUCCUGCUCACAGCCAGAAUUAGCUAGCAUUCACUGACCCAUAACUGAGUUCCUAAAAUACUCAAGACAAAAGACAUGUUGCUUUUCUUCACUAUAGCAAUAAUUUUACUAUCAAAUAAAUCCCAUAACCUCAUGUUGUAAACAUC
This 3176-nucleotide long non-coding RNA is filed under the name Callithrix jacchus (white-tufted-ear marmoset). RNAcentral describes it as "lncRNA (ENSCJAG00000084981.1)". Lineage: Eukaryota; Metazoa; Chordata; Mammalia; Primates; Cebidae. The record is from RNAcentral.